AAAACGUUACUCAUGCGCAUCACAUGGAUGCCUCGACUCUGUAUUCCGAAGAAGGACGUGGCCAGCUGCGUUAAGCUCCGGUCAGCCGCUAGGCAGGCGCUAAUAGCCGGAGAUAUCCGAAUGGNNNNNNNNNNNNNNNNNNNNNNNNNNNNNNNNNNNNNCUUUUUUCGUGCUUCAUGGUAACCAUGCAUCAGUCUGAUGUUUUGGUUAUCACAGGCACGAAAAAAGGUGCGGGGAGGUCACCUGGUGAACUGAAACAUCUCAUUAACCAGGGAAAAGAAAUCAAUAAGAGAUUCCCCGAGUAGUGGCGAGCGAAAGGGGAACAGCCCAAACCCAGCACCUUUUUUCCUGCUUUAUUGUAACCAUGCAUCAAUGUUCGGCAUGAGUUACACAGGCAUGAAAAAUAGGUGCUGGGGGUUGUAGGACUUCAUACGCUGAUCUUCCUCCUCUAGGCGAACGACCCUGGAACGGGCGGCCAUAGAGGGUGAGAGCCCCGUAGACGAAAGGGGGGGAAGCGGCAGAAGUAUCCUGAGUAAGGUCGGACACGUGAAAUCCGGCCCGAAUCUGGGAGGACCACCUUCCAAGGCUAAAUCAGAUACAGAGAUCUAUAGCGGAUAGUACCGUGAGGGAAAGGUGAAAAGCACCCCGGAAGGGGGAUGAAAUAGUUUCUGAAAUGUGAUGCGUACAAAAAGUCGGAGCCUGGCGCAAGCUGGGUGACGGCGUGCCUUUUGCAUAAUGAGCCAACGACUGUGUUCUCAGUGGCAAGGCUAAGGCAGUCUUUAGCCGGAGCCGGAGCGAAAGCGAGUCCGAAUAGGGCGCUUAGUCGCUGGGACACGACCCGAAACCGGGUGAGCUAUCCAUGAGCAGGAUGAAGGGCGCCGGAAGGCGUCUGGAGGUCCGAACCAUAAUGUAUCGCAAGACAUUGGGAUGACUUGUGGAUGGGAGUGAAAAGCUUACCGAACCCGGAGAUAGCUGGUUUUCCUCGAUAUGUUUUUAGGAACAGCCUCGUUAGAUACAGCGGGGGGUAGAGAUACUGUUUGGAUGCGGGGGUCCUUUGUGACCUACCAAAUCCUGACAAACUCCGAAUACCCGCCUUUCACUGACGGCAGUGAGACGGUGACAGCAAAUUGCCAUCGUCGUGAGGGGAAGAGCCCCGACCAUUGGCUAAGGUCCCUAAUGAAUGCUGAGUGGAAAAGGUAGUGUAGAUGCUUCAACAACCAGGAGGUUGGCUUAGAAGCAGCCAUCCUUUAAAGAAAGCGUAACAGCUCACUGGUCGAUGCAUCUAUGCGCCGAAAAUUUACCGGGGCAAAGCAUUCAACCGAAGCCGUGGAUUCCAGCACCUUUUUUCGUGCCUCUUUAGUAACCAUUCAUCACGCGUGAUCAUUGGUUACCGCGGACGCGAAAAUAGGUGCUGGAGUGGUAGAGGAACGUUCCCUGUGCAUUGAAGCCGAGCCGCGAGGUCAGGUGGAGUGCAGGGAAGUGAGACUGUUGGCAUGAGUAACUACUAGGCAAGUGAAAAACUUGCCCGCCGAAUUCCCAAGGUUUCCCACGCAACGGUCAUCGGCGUGGGGUUAGUCGGUCCUAAGGCCAGGCCGAAAGGCGUAACCGAUGGACAGCAGGUCAAUAUUCCUGCACUUCGUAAAAAUCGACAACGGUGUACGGUUGAUAGUUCUGUCGGCCUCUAAUCUUCACCAUUCUGAACUUACGAAAUUAGCAAUUAGAAGUGAGCAAUUAGAAAUUGCUCAUUGCUAAUUCCUCAUUGCUAAUUUGAUCCGAGUUUAGGAUGGUGAAGAUUAUGUCUACGGAAAAGGAUACCGUACAUUUAGAAGCGGUGUGACGGAGACGGAAGUCCGGAGCGUGUGCAUUGACUGCACGUGGAAGGCGCGAAGCGUUGAGGCCGGGAGGCAAAUCCCCCGGCUGAGCCGAGCGUUUACCCCAAUUACCCGCCGCAAGGCGGAUGAGUCCGAAACUUUCAGCUUCCAAGAAAACCAUCGCUUCGAGAGCUUUACGAAACCGUACCGCAAACCAACACCGGUGGGAUGGUCGAGUAGACCAAGGCGAACGGAUCAUCUUGUGUUAAGGAACUCGGCAAUGAAGCGUCCGUAACUUCGGGAUAAGGACUGACGGUCCCCUCGUGGGAUCGCCUGCAACAAAAGAGCCCGGGCGACUGUUUACCAAAAACACAGGUCCCUGCUAAGUCGCAAGACUAUGUAUAGGGGCUGAUGCCUGGCCAGUGUCAGAAGGUCACGUGAGGAGCUUUACGGCUCCGAUCCAAGCCCUGACGAACGCCGGCCGUAACUAUAACGGUCCUAAGGCCAGGCCGAAAGGCGUAACCGAUGGACAGCAGGUCAAUAUUCCUGCACUUCGUAAAAAUCGACAACGGUGUACGGUUGAU
Molecule: non-coding RNA, 2395 nt
Organism: Candidatus Peribacteria bacterium
Lineage: Bacteria; Candidatus Peregrinibacteriota; Candidatus Peribacteria
Source: Rfam